CCGCUCCGGGAGAGUCUCGCGGCCUAUCAGCUUGUUGGCGGGGUAACGGCCCACCAAGGCAUCGACGGGUAGCUGGUCUGAGAGGACGAUCAGCCACACUGGGACUGAGACACGGCCCAG
Molecule: ribosomal RNA, 120 nt
Filed under: uncultured bacterium
Lineage: Bacteria
Description: partial 16S ribosomal RNA
Rfam family: Bacterial small subunit ribosomal RNA
Source: RNAcentral